UCAGGAUGAACGCUGGCGGCGUGCCUAACACAUGCAAGUCGAGCGCGAUCUUCAUGAUAGAGUUUUCGGACAAAGUCAUGGAUUGAAAGCGGCGGACGGGUGAGUAACGCGUAGGCAACCUACCCCAUACAGGAAGAUAGCCUCGGGAAACCGGGAUUAAUACUCCAUGAAGCUCUAGCAACAUAUGUUGCAUGAGUCAAAGUGCUUAGCGGUAUGGGAUGGGCCUGCGUCUGAUUAGCUAGUUGGUGAGGUAACGGCUCACCAAGGCGACGAUCCAGUAGCCGACCUGAGAGGGUGAUCGGCCACACUGGAACUGAGACACGGUCCAGACUCCUACGGGAGGCAGCAGUGGGGAAUAUUGCACAAUGGGGGAAACCCUGAUGCAGCAACGCCGCGUGAGUGAUGAAGGUUUUCCGGAUCGUAAAGCUCUGUCCUAGGGGAAAUAUGACGGUACCCUAGGAGGAAGCCCCGGCUAACUACNUGCCACAAUCCGCGGUAUACGUANGGGGCCAAGCGUGAUCCGGAAUUAUGGGGUUUAAGGGUGCGCAGG
RNAcentral lists this ribosomal RNA (550 nucleotides) under uncultured Bacillota bacterium. Its description in RNAcentral is "bacterial SSU rRNA". It matches the Rfam family "Bacterial small subunit ribosomal RNA", at positions 24 to 575 of the family's 1533-position model. The record is from RNAcentral. Lineage: Bacteria; Bacillati; Bacillota.